CCAGACCUGCAGAACUUCCAGCAACUUCUGUUUUUGUUCCAGUUUCAGAGAUUGAGCAGUGGCAGGAGUCGCUGCAGGGCAACCUCAAAGUAAAGAGCCCUGUGGAUAGCACAUUUAGAGAGGUGGUCACACCAUAGGAUAGAAGUUGCAGCCAAACACCAAGAAUGACCAUAACAAAGUGAAAAGGCCAGAAAGAAGAGACAAGAGACAUCCAGGCUGAACAUUUUAACAUAAGCUUCUUCACAUUCUGCUGUUUUUGACUGAAACUUCUAAAUGUUCACAGGCCGCAUCUACAGAAGGAAAAGACUCAAAUGCACACGUAUUGUAUGUAAGUGCACGGACUCAGUGAAGACUCCAUUGUGCAAAUAAUUUUGUUCAAUAUUUCCACAACCAGGAAAAACACCCAUGUGGCCAAGAAACCAGUAGGAAAGCCCGAC
This is a long non-coding RNA of Rhincodon typus (whale shark), 437 nucleotides long. RefSeq lists it as uncharacterized. The record is from RefSeq and is a predicted model, not a curated record. The transcript is spliced from 4 exons. Lineage: Eukaryota; Metazoa; Chordata; Chondrichthyes; Orectolobiformes; Rhincodontidae.